GGGAGCUAGCAGGAKCCCUUUGUGACUCUGCUAGAACCCACCCCGGAAACGAUAAGUUUUCGAUAUCCGGGGAAGUAUACUKACAAAUSCGAAACUUAARGGAAUKRACGGAAGGGCACCACCAGGGGUUGGAGCUGCGGCUUAAUUUGACUCAACACGGGGAAACUCAUCCGGUCCGGACACCGUGAGGAUUGACAGAUUGGGAGCUCUUUCUUGAUUUGGUGGGCAGUGGUGCAUGGCCGUUCUUAGUUGGUGGAGUGAUUUGUCUGGUUUAUUCCGAUAACGAACGAGACUCUGGCCUACUAACUAGUUGCGCGAUCUUCUUGUCGUGCCAACUUCUUAGAGGGACAAGCGGUGCUCAGCCGCAUGAAAAAGAGCAAUAACAGGUCUGUGAUGCCCUUCGAUGUUCGGAGCUGCACGCGCGCUACACUGUGGGUGGCAGCAUGUUAGCUUGCCUUCGCUCGCAAGAGUGGGGUAAUCGUUUGAAAAUCCCACGUGAUUGGGAUAGGGACUUGUAAUUAUUUCCCUUGAACGAGGAAUCCCUAGUAAGUGCAGCGYUCAUCAGUCGCGCUGAU
Molecule: ribosomal RNA, 575 nt
Filed under: Diplolaimelloides environmental sample
Lineage: Eukaryota; Metazoa; Nematoda; Chromadorea; Monhysterida; Monhysteridae
Description: SSU rRNA
Rfam family: Eukaryotic small subunit ribosomal RNA
Source: RNAcentral